Molecule: small RNA, 239 nt
Filed under: Histoplasma capsulatum var. duboisii H88
Lineage: Eukaryota; Fungi; Ascomycota; Eurotiomycetes; Onygenales; Ajellomycetaceae
Description: Histoplasma capsulatum H88 hypothetical RNA
Source: RNAcentral
ACAGUGGUGUGAUGAAUAUCAACUCAAGCAAAGAUAUGCUGGGGCAGGAUUGCAAAAGAGGUGAUGUGGGAUCUAAACCCUGAGCCCUGAGUGCUGGAGACAGCAAAGGAUCCCGAUUUCCCUAACCGCGCCAAAUAUGUGCCGCUGGGAACCCAGUGUUGGGAGUGAUGAUGAGUCCAACUCUGAGGGCCAGACCCCAUCAUUGCCAGUGUUGAUUGAAGAUGGUGGAGUGACAAUGG